Molecule: ribosomal RNA, 450 nt
Filed under: uncultured bacterium
Lineage: Bacteria
Description: partial 16S ribosomal RNA
Rfam family: Bacterial small subunit ribosomal RNA
Source: RNAcentral
CCUACGGGUGGCUGCAGUGGGGAAUUUUGGACAAUGGGCGCAAGCCUGAUCCAGCCAUUCCGCGUGAGUGAAGAAGGCCUUCGGGUUGUAAAGCUCUUUCGCAAGGGAAGAACACUUAUCCUCUAACAUAGGAUGAGGUUGACGGUACCUUGAUAAGAAGCACCGGCUAACUACGUGCCAGCAGCCGCGGUAAUACGUAGGGUGCGAGCGUUAAUCGGAGUUACUGGGCGCAAAGCGGUAAGUGACUGUUGAAAGCCCCGAGCUCAACUUGGGAACUGCGUUUGAAACUACAAGACUAGAAUAGGUCAGAGGGGGGUAGAAUUCCACGUGUAGCAGUGAAAUGCGUAGAGAUGUGGAGGAAUAUCAAUGGCGAAGGCAGCCCCCUGGGAUCAUAUUGACGCUCAUGCACGAAAGCGUGGGGAGCAAACAGGAUUAGAUACCCCAGUAGUC